AAGAGUGUCUAGAAAAUGUGUGUUUUGCAGAGCUUGUGAAGCAAGGAGAACAGUCUGAGCAGCAGUGGAGGGCAGAGAAGCAGAAUUGCAAAGAGAUGGAAGCCAUUAUAUAAAACAUGGAUGAGAUGAUGCAAGAUCGGAGGGCUGAAAAGGAGAAUCUGGAUCAGGUGAAACAAGUGAUGAAUGGAGUAUAUCCGUCUCUCAGGACAGAGUUUUGACUUGCAGGAAUCUUACAGUGGACACAUAGUGCUCGAGAUUCGCCAAAACACCAUCAAGGUACUGUCCAGCCAAUCAGAUCAAGGUUUGAUGAGCAUGUAGAUAAUGGUUUCUGUUCUUGCUGAUGUCU
This is a long non-coding RNA of Cyprinus carpio carpio, 346 nucleotides long. Lineage: Eukaryota; Metazoa; Chordata; Actinopteri; Cypriniformes; Cyprinidae. The record is from Ensembl.